RNAcentral lists this ribosomal RNA (434 nucleotides) under uncultured bacterium. Its description in RNAcentral is "bacterial SSU rRNA". It matches the Rfam family "Bacterial small subunit ribosomal RNA", at positions 957 to 1391 of the family's 1533-position model. The record is from RNAcentral.
GAACGCGAAGAACCUUACCCGGGCUUGAAUUGCAGAGGAAGGAUUUAGAGAUAAUGACGCCCUCCGGGGUCUCUGUGAAGGUGCUGCAUGGUUGUCGUCAGCUCGUGCCGUGAGGUGUCGGCUUAAGUGCCAUAACGAGCGCAACCCCUCUCUUCAGUUGCCAUCAGGUUAAGCUGGGCACUCUGGAGACACUGCCACCGUAAGGUGUGAGGAAGGUGGGGAUGACGUCAAAUCAGCACGGCCCUUACGUCCGGGGCUACACACGUGUUACAAUGGCCGGUACAGAGGGAUGGUGUAAUGCAAAUUGCAUCAAAUCUUGAAAGCCGGUCCCAGUUCGGACUGGGGUCUGCAACCCGACCCCACGAAGCUGGAUUCGCUAGUAAUCGCGCAUCAGCCAUGGCGCGGUGAAUACGUUCCCGGGUCUUGUACACACC